GGGGGAUUAGCUCAAAUGGUAGAGCGCCCGCUUAGCAUGCAGGAGGUACCGGGAUCAAUACCCGGAUUCUCCA
Non-coding RNA from Nematostella vectensis (starlet sea anemone), 73 nucleotides. Lineage: Eukaryota; Metazoa; Cnidaria; Anthozoa; Actiniaria; Edwardsiidae. The record is from Rfam.